UGCUGUUGAGUUUUGUCUGCUAGGAUGUGGUUUGUUUGUUACCCAAUGUGGAUUUCCCUGUGUAACCAGUGUAGCCUGCAUUGUGUUUUGCGUGAAAUAACCACACAGACAUCAGAUGGUGGUUUGACUCUUCUUUACUUUGUCCCAUGCUCUCCCAUGCUAAACCAGUGCCGGUGCCAGGACAGGAAAUUAACAUAUACAGAUUUAUUGUGUAAAUCUUCAGCGGCCCAGAAAUCGAUCCAAACAAAAUUUCCUCACACAAGGUGCUUAUUCCUGGGACGUAAAGUGACUGUUGGUCAUCACUGGGCCAAGUUUUUUCUGGUUGAAGGGAACCAGACCAGGAGGAAACACAGCUCAAAAGCUUGAGAAACGAUUCACAUUCUGGGUUACUGUUGUGACAGGUUUCAGUAUGGACUGGCUACAAACUGUUACAGGAGCAUUAAACAGAUUGCUAGCUCCAUCCAUUUCCUGAGAUCCCACAUACAGCACUGUUUUGUCGCAACUAUUUACUACAACUUGCAACUAUUUACAAAAAAUUCUUGCAGGUCUGACUCAACAUUUAGGGGAAGUUCACCAUUGCCCAUGCUAACCCCCUUCACACAUGGGCUCUUUAGUUUAACUGAGUUUUAGGAGGAAGCGGUUCAAGGCCUGCUGUCUCGGGACAAUUACUCUUAAAGUGUCCAGAUUUGAGGUAGUUAUGACAAAACCUAAAGUAUGGCACAUGCAGAGAGCAUAUGUGGUGUGCUCUUUGGACUACACACUCUACAUGCUGAACUCACACUGACUUGAGAUCUGAAGUUCUGUCUGUUCUACCGAGAUUAGAUGAGGACAGUGAGGCAGUGCAUGGUGAUAAAACUUCAUCCAUCAUGUCAACCAACUGCUGCAUACUAGCAUUUGGAGUAACAGGAGACGCAUUGGGGUUGAGCUGACCAUUUGAACAUGGUGACUGACCUAAUGAGAGUUUGAGCUGCUUGAGAAUAUUGGGUACAGGAUCAUUACAGAUUUCUGAUGGCAAGUGAAAACAGGUGCAGAAAAGGGAAGAGGAGGUGCCAGGACAGAAAAUUAAGCUGAGGAUGCCACACGGCACCAUGUUUGGUGUCAAGCACCACCCUUUUUUAUCAGAGCCUAAAGGAACUUUGGCUCCACCAUUGUUCCAGCUGAGGACUUUGCUCCAAUUGUGGGUGUUGUGGAGGGCAACGCUCGGAAACCCAUGUGGAGGAUGCUUCCCUCCCACCCCUGCCGGAUAAUGCUCUGUCUCCAGGCUUGGAUGAGGACGUUGCUUGAAUACGCCCACAACCUGAUGCUGCUGUCCAUGCUUCAAAGUGGGGUGGGGUUCUCAGCAUUAAAAGCCUCAAUACAUAAUGGUGAUCAUUAUGGACAAACAGUUCAAUUGUUAUUUCUUCUAACCAGAGGACCUGCUUAAAAAGGGCUGAUAAUCACCUACAAAUUUCAGUCUAGAAAUUUUCUUUCAGGUCAUGGUGAUGUAAUACUCUCUCAUUUGCCAGGACCUUUGUUGUGGUCUUUUUUGUAUCUCCUAGGCUGAGUGUAUGUGGCUCUAAGAUGUGCAAGCCUAGGAGUUAAUUUGUGUCUCAAAUGCAGUGCCUAUGUAGUCCUAAGUUUUUUUUCGUAAAUUAAA
This is a long non-coding RNA of Tachysurus fulvidraco (yellow catfish), 1636 nucleotides long. RefSeq lists it as uncharacterized. NCBI's taxonomy places the organism in Eukaryota, Metazoa, Chordata, Actinopteri, Siluriformes, Bagridae. The record is from RefSeq and is a predicted model, not a curated record. The transcript has 4 exons.